AGCAGCCGCGGUAAUUCCAGCUCCAAUAGCGUAUAUUAAAGUUGUUGCAGUUAAAAAGCUCGUAGUUGAAUUUCGGGAUUGACACAUCGGUCGUGCCUCAAGGGGUAUGAACUGGUGUAGUCAAUUUCUCACCUUCUGGAGAACCGCGAUGCCCUUAAUUGGGUGUCACGGGGAACCAGGACCUUUACUUUGAAAAAUUAGAGUGUUUAAAGCAGGCAUUUUGCUUGAAUACAUUAGCAUGGAAUAAUAAAAUAGGACGGCAUGAUUCUAUUUUGUUGGUUUCUAGGAUCACCGUAAUGGUUAAUAGGGAUAGUUGGGGGCAUUAGUAUUCAAUUGUCAGAGGUGAAAUUCUUGGAUUUACUGAAGACUAACUACUGCGAAAGCAUUUGCCAAGGAUGUUUUCAUUAAUCAAGAACGAAAGUUAGGGGAUCGAAGACGAUCAGAUACCGU
This 450-nucleotide ribosomal RNA is filed under the name uncultured Entrophospora. Its description in RNAcentral is "SSU rRNA". It matches the Rfam family "Eukaryotic small subunit ribosomal RNA", at positions 569 to 1018 of the family's 1831-position model. The record is from RNAcentral. Lineage: Eukaryota; Fungi; Glomeromycota; Glomeromycetes; Entrophosporales; Entrophosporaceae.